Molecule: ribosomal RNA, 420 nt
Filed under: Triticum aestivum (bread wheat)
Lineage: Eukaryota; Viridiplantae; Streptophyta; Magnoliopsida; Poales; Poaceae
Description: partial small subunit ribosomal RNA
Source: RNAcentral
AUGGCGAAAUGCUUCCUGCUGCUCGCCUUCUUGGCGUUUCUCCUGCCGGCGGCCUAUGCGACGUGCCACCCUGACGACCUUCAAGCGCCGCGGGGCUUCGCCGGGAAGAGCAAUAGAAGAACACUCCAACAACAACAACCAAACACCAUUACUGGGACCAACAACAGUGUUAGAUCUGGAAGUGGCAACAUUGUAUCUGGGAGCGGCAACACUGUUGUAUCUGGGGACAACAACAAUGUUUCUGGGAGCAACAACACAGUCACAUCUGGGAGCAGCAAUGUCAUACUUGACACCAACCAUGUCGUAAUUGGGACCAACAAUACUGUAUCCGGCAAUAACAAUAGGGUAACUGGGAACAAUAAUGUUGUAUCCGGGAGCAACCAAGUCGUGUACGGGGACAACAAAGUCGUAACUGGCUAA